GUAGGGGGCAAGCGUUGUCCGGAAUCAUUGGGCGUAAAGCGCGCGUAGGUGGCCCGGUAAGUCCGCUGUAAAAGUCCAGGGCUCAACCCUGGAAAGCCGGUGGAUACUGUCGGGCUCGAGUCCGGAAGAGGCGAGUGGAAUUCCUGGUGUAGCGGUGGAAUGCGCAGAUAUCAGGAGGAACACCGAUGGCGAAGGCAGCUCGCUGGGACGGUACUGACACUGAGGCGCGAAAGCGUGGGGAGCGAACAGGAUUAGAUACCCUGGUAGUCCACGCCGUAAACGAUGGGCACUAGGUGUGGGAGGUGUCGACUCCUCCCGUGCCGGCGCUAACGCAUUAAGUGCCCCGCCUGGGGAGUACGGCCGCAAGGCUA
Molecule: ribosomal RNA, 371 nt
Filed under: uncultured bacterium
Lineage: Bacteria
Description: bacterial SSU rRNA
Rfam family: Bacterial small subunit ribosomal RNA
Source: RNAcentral